GCGAGUGAAGCGGCAAAAGCUCAAAUUUGAAAUCUAACACUUUCAGUGUUCGAGUUGUAAUUUGAAGAAAGUUUCUCUGAGUAGUCCUUUAUCUAUGUUCCUUGGAACAGGACGUCAUAGAGGGUGAGAAUCCCGUAUGAUUUUGGAUACUAUUCUUUGUGAGAUUCUUUCGAAGAGUCGAGUUGUUUGGGAAUGCAGCUCUAAGUGGGUGGUAAAUUCCAUCUAAAGCUAAAUAUUGGCGAGAGACCGAUAGCGAACAAGUACAGUGAUGGAAAGAUGAAAAGAACUCUGAAGAGAGAGUGAAAAAGUACGUGAAAUUGCUGAAAGGGAAGGGCUUUAGGUCAGACUUGGUGUUUAAUGAUUAUCUUCUCUUUUUGAGUUGUGCACUCGUUUUUCACUGGGCCAAUAUCAGUUUUUGUGGUAGAGCACCUAUUGGAAUGUAGCUUUUCUUCGGAUGAGUGUUAUAGCCUUUAGACGAUCUAUUUACGGAGACUGAGGACUGCGCGUUAUGCUAGGAUAUUGGCGUAAUGACCUUAAGCCGCCC
Molecule: ribosomal RNA, 544 nt
Filed under: Saccharomycopsis crataegensis
Lineage: Eukaryota; Fungi; Ascomycota; Saccharomycetes; Ascoideales; Saccharomycopsidaceae
Description: eukaryotic LSU rRNA
Rfam family: Eukaryotic large subunit ribosomal RNA
Source: RNAcentral